This 427-nucleotide long non-coding RNA is filed under the name Manihot esculenta (cassava). RNAcentral's name for it is "long non-coding RNA (MESC_LNC004370)". Lineage: Eukaryota; Viridiplantae; Streptophyta; Magnoliopsida; Malpighiales; Euphorbiaceae. The record is from RNAcentral.
AAAAAACAAAUGAAAUUGGAAAAGCCGAAAAUAGUGUGUAUUUUAGUAAAAGGAGGCGUUUGGGACGAGGACGAGGAGAGGAGUAGGAGGAGGAAUCCUUGACCGAAGGGAGGGAAAGAAUCUGCCAUGAAAUCCGUGGAGGGUUUGUGCAAUAAUUAAGAAAAAUCUGAAAAUAGUUUAAUAGAAAGAGUGGGAGAAAAAGACAGAGAGCCAUCAGAUAUUUAAGGAAAGUGAUGACUGAUGAUAAGGUGCUUUUGUAAUAACAACAAAAUUUUAAAAAAUUUCCAUAUCUAGGACUCCCACUUCCUCUUUUUCCAACCAUAACCCACCUGGUAUUGUUUAUCCCUUCUAAUCUCCCUUUUUUAAUCUAACUAUAAUCUAAUAACUAAUUUACUACUAAUUAUUAAUUUAGGCUUGAUGACCGCUG